Molecule: long non-coding RNA, 1345 nt
Filed under: Numida meleagris (helmeted guineafowl)
Lineage: Eukaryota; Metazoa; Chordata; Aves; Galliformes; Numididae
Description: lncRNA (ENSNMEG00000005874.1)
Source: RNAcentral
AAAAAGAAAAAAAAAAAUAACCCAAUGUUGAUCUUCAGAGCAGCAGCACUCCCAAUGACAUUGAUGGCAACCGCAGAGAGUCUGCGUUCUGCAGAAGCCUUCAGCUGCACCCUGUGGGAAUUUCACCAGCCUUGGAAAUUUUCAUGAAACAAGGGGAGUGGGAUGUAGCUUGUCACAGGCUCUUGUUAGACACACUGCUUGCCUCGAGAAGCAACCGAAGGACUGAGAAAAACAAUUCCAAGGGACUUUUGUUUGCCUUACUGAAUUGAUUGCAUGAAGCCUGGCACAAGUAAGCAUUUGCUGUUGGUUGUUUUGCCAAGUUUAACAUCCUCUUCGUAGAUAUGCCAUGUUUCCAGUGCAUUUCUGAGGGGAUUCCUUCCUGCUAAUCCUUUUAAUAAUAUUUAUGCUGGGGAAGCAGUGUCUUUUCCACACAUAGAUCCAAAUUCACUGCCUGUUUAAAUCCACAGAAGUCAAUGCAAUUAAGUUACCAGCAAAGAAUGUGGGCUCUCCAUCCUUCACGAGGCUGAAUGAAAGUUGCCUAUAAGUAGGAGAGCAUAUGAGAAACAGGUCAGGAAAGCUCACCAAAGACAGAAUCAACUGGACAGACUUGCCCAUUUUUUUUGUCAUUGUUAGCAACAUGCUGCAUUAUGUUGUCUUUCUACAUCUCCGUUUGUCCUUCAGACAACCACCCCUUUCUAAAUAGUGCUUGCAUCCCAGUUGUGCCUCCUAGCACAGAGGCACAGGGACAUGAGCAAAUAAAAGUAGGUCACUCAGCUGUCAGAAGCGUGAGAAAAUAUCUCUGCCAGCAUAGAAAAUGGAGCGUGUUUGCAUUCGGGUUUUAUACUGGAUUUUAUUUUUGCAUACAAAGCAAUGAAUUAAAAAGUAAUUGACAAGUAAUGUGACCAACCAACUUCUUGAGCUUCAUUCAGUGUUUUAGAGAGCUUUCUUAACUCUGAGUGAGGAACAGAGCAAAGACAUGUUUUCCCUAGGUCUUCAGAGAAGCAGUUCCUUUGGAAAGUACCAAUCUAGGAAUGGUUCCCAGGAGAGCACUUCGGAAGUCUUGCUUGCACUGACAUCAUGGAAGUUGUCUGGGGACGCAACAAUCAGAGGCUUCUCCAUACCAUUUCAUACCACUAAGCUCCCGGACACAGAUGUGACUGGAACCAGAGCUCCCACUGAGAGACUGGAUGAAGGUAUUCACAGUAUAGGUGUUGACCCUUUUAGGCAUUUCCUCUGGGUUUGGCCCCAUAUUUUUAUCCUCAGGCCCCACCAAAUGCCCAACCAAAGCACAAGCAUCAAUCCUGGAAGAUGCAAACACUCACAGAGUGCAGUCAUGGUGAACUAA